This is a long non-coding RNA of Passer domesticus (house sparrow), 173 nucleotides long. RefSeq lists it as uncharacterized. The record is from RefSeq and is a predicted model, not a curated record. NCBI's taxonomy places the organism in Eukaryota, Metazoa, Chordata, Aves, Passeriformes, Passeridae. The transcript has 3 exons.
AUUUUCUUGAGAACAAGAAACUAAGAUUCAGAAAAUGAUCUUUCCAAGGCUACUGCUGAAUACCAUGGGAAUGAUAUUGUGGAUGGGAUGGCUAAUUGAUAAAGCCCUGAGAGUGACUAUUGUCCUGUGGACUGUUGCCAGAUGCUGUGUUUAUGAAUAUCAAAGACAUCUUG